GCGGCAAGCAGGUCGGAGCGAUGGACAAUGGGAACGUCCGAUGUGCGCGCGACAGCGAUGUCGGGGUUCGAUUCCUCGAUUGCUGUU
RNAcentral lists this transfer RNA (87 nucleotides) under Syntrophorhabdus sp. PtaU1.Bin050. RNAcentral describes it as "tRNA-Pro". The record is from RNAcentral. Lineage: Bacteria; Pseudomonadati; Thermodesulfobacteriota; Syntrophorhabdia; Syntrophorhabdales; Syntrophorhabdaceae.